This 468-nucleotide ribosomal RNA is filed under the name uncultured bacterium. RNAcentral's name for it is "partial 16S ribosomal RNA". It matches the Rfam family "Bacterial small subunit ribosomal RNA", at positions 28 to 507 of the family's 1533-position model. The record is from RNAcentral.
GACGAACGCUGGCGGCGUGCUUAACACAUGCAAGUCGAACGGAAAGGCCCUGCUUUUGUGGGGGGCUCGAGUGGCGAACGGGUGAGUAACACGUGAGUAACCUGCCCUUGACUUUGGGAUAACUUCAGGAAACUGGGGCUAAUACCGGAUAGGAGCUCCUGCUGCAUGGUGGGGGUUGGAAAGUUUCGGCGGGUGGGGAUGGACUCGCGGCUUAUCAGCUUGUUGGUGGGGUAGUGGCUUACCAAGGCUUUGACGGGUAGCCGGCCUGAGAGGGUGACCGGCCACAUUGGGACUGAGAUACGGCCCAGACUCCUACGGGAGGCAGCAGUGGGGAAUAUUGCACAAUGGGCGGAAGCCUGAUGCAGCAACGCCGCGUGCGGGAUGACGGCCUUCGGGUUGUAAACCGCUUUCGCCUGUGACGAAGCGUGAGUGACGGUAAUGGGUAAAGAAGCACCGGCUAACUACGUG